UGAGUGCUUCAGGGGAUUUGAAUCUGCGACUUCCCCAUCCUAGUUCAGCAUUCUAGCCAAGGGCAGGGCUCCCACGGCCCUGAUGGUUUUGGAGGCCUCCAGCUCCCGCCAGCCCAGCUGCAUGGCCAACGGACAGGGAUGAAGGAGCUCUAGUCCAACACCUGGAAGACCACAGUUUCCCUGUUGCUGCUGUUCUUAACAUUCAGAACUGGAAGGGGCCUUUGAGGUGGUUAUCCAGUCCAACUCCCAGCUCAACACAAGAGUCUUGCAACUACAGCAAGGAGUGGGGACCUUUGUCAUGCCCAGGGACACAUUCCCUUCUGAGCAACCUCAAAGGGACAUAUACUGGGGUUAUAGAUGCUUGGAGUGGUACUAGGCACAGCUGCUGCUGUUGCAACACCUCUUGGAAAUGGGGUUCCAAAAAGAGCAACAGGAUGUGACCAUGCCUCAUCCUUCCUGGGGACAUUCUAGGAGGGGGGAAACAAGAGAGCUGCAUCGUUCCCACCAGAGUGUGCAACUCAAGGGCCGGCUGAUAGCAAACAUGCUCUUCUGUCAAUCUGCAAAAACAAUAUUAACAGCAUUUUAAAACAACUUACAACCAUAAAAAUAAGCAUGCAGCUCAAGUGUGAAAUACCAGCAUUAAAAGGUGAAUUCCACAGAAUUCAGAUUGCAGCACAUUCAAACAUUAGGCAGGUGCCUUCACUGUAUUCCUUCCAGUGCCUGCUACAAACAUUCUAGUUUAGGUCAGCCUACCAAGAUACAAAGACUGUUGGUAUAUAUUUUAAGUUAAUUGUUUAUUUUAUCUUUUGAAUGUUUUUUAAAGAGUUGCUUUGACUGACAAUUGCUUUAUUCUCUUUGUAAACCAUUUUGAGGUUUUCUAAUGAUCAUGGGGUAUAUAGGUAAAGGGACCCCUGACCAUUAGGUCCAGUCAUGACCGACUCUGGGAUUGCGGCGCUCAUCUCGCUUUAU
Molecule: non-coding RNA, 969 nt
Organism: Podarcis muralis (Common wall lizard)
Lineage: Eukaryota; Metazoa; Chordata; Lepidosauria; Squamata; Lacertidae
Source: RefSeq, a predicted model, not a curated record